AUUUAUGUAGUUUAUAAAAACAUUACAUUUUCAAUGUAAAGAUAAAAUAUAAUUUUUCAUAAAUA
Molecule: transfer RNA, 65 nt
Filed under: Nannophya pygmaea
Lineage: Eukaryota; Metazoa; Arthropoda; Insecta; Odonata; Libellulidae
Description: tRNA-Glu
Rfam family: tRNA
About the family: Transfer RNA (tRNA) molecules are approximately 80 nucleotides in length.
Source: RNAcentral